GAGUUUGAUCGUGGCUCAGAUUGAACGCUGGCGGCAUGCCCUUACACAUGCAAGUCGAACGGCAGCACGGGAGCUUGCUCCUGGUGGCGAGUGGCGAACGGGUGAGUAAUGCAUCGGAACGUAUCCUGGAGUGGGGGAUAACGUAGCGAAAGUUACGCUAAUACCGCAUAUUCUGUGAGCAGGAAAGCGGGGGACCUUCGGGCCUCGCGCUCUUGGAGCGGCCGAUGUCGGAUUAGCUAGUUGGUGAGGUAAAGGCUCACCAAGGCGACGAUCCGUAGCAGGUCUGAGAGGAUGAUCUGCCACACUGGAACUGAGACACGGUCCAGACUCCUACGGGAGGCAGCAGUGGGAAUUUUGGACAAUGGGGGCAACCCUGAUCCAGCCAUGCCGCGUGAGUGAAGAAGGCCU
This 408-nucleotide ribosomal RNA is filed under the name bacterium enrichment culture clone ALO1_GLFRUDD03GONW3. Its description in RNAcentral is "bacterial SSU rRNA". It matches the Rfam family "Bacterial small subunit ribosomal RNA", at positions 9 to 417 of the family's 1533-position model. The record is from RNAcentral.